Molecule: ribosomal RNA, 460 nt
Filed under: uncultured bacterium
Lineage: Bacteria
Description: partial 16S ribosomal RNA
Rfam family: Bacterial small subunit ribosomal RNA
Source: RNAcentral
CCUACGGGAGGCUGCAGUGAGGAAUAUUGGUCAAUGGGCGGGAGCCUGAACCAGCCAAGUCGCGUGAGGGAAGACGGUCCUAUGGAUUGUAAACCUCUUUAGGCGGGGAGCAAUGCCGGGCACGCGUGCCCGGAGGGAGAGUACCCGCAGAAUAAGCAUCGGCUAACUCCGUGCCAGCAGCCGCGGUAAUACGGAGGAUGCGAGCGUUAUCCGGAUUGAUUGGGUUAAAAGGGUGCGUAGGCGGAUUUUUAAGUCAGCGGUAAAAUGUCCGGGCUCAACCCGGGCCGGCCGUUGAAACUGGGGAUCUUGAGUGGGCGAGAAGUAUGCGGAAUGCGUGGUGUAGCGGUGAAAUGCAUAGAUAUCACGCAGAACUCCGAUUGCGAAGGCAGCAUACCGGCGCCCGACUGACGCUGAGGCACGAAAGCGUGGGGAUCGAACAGGAUUAGAUACCCUAGUAGUC